GUGCUCGCUUUGGCAGCACAUAGGCUAAAACUGGAAUUAUGCAGGGAAGAUUUGCAUGGCGCCUGCUUAAGGAUGCACACAGAUUCCAGCAGGUUGUUGUAGAAAUU
Small nuclear RNA from Sorex fumeus (smoky shrew), 107 nucleotides. NCBI's taxonomy places the organism in Eukaryota, Metazoa, Chordata, Mammalia, Eulipotyphla, Soricidae. The record is from RefSeq and is a predicted model, not a curated record.